GAUGAACGCUGGCGGCGUGCCUAAUACAUGCAAGUCGAGCGAACGGACGAGAAGCUUGUUCUUUUGAUGUUAGCGGCGGGCGGGCGAGCAACACGUGGAUAACCUUCUUAUUAUACGGGGAUGAUUACGGAAAACAGGAUAUAAUACCGGCGAAUACGUUGAACGGCUUGGUGCAAAAGUGAAACACGGCUUGCCCGUCUCUAUGAGAUGGAUCCGCGCUGCCUUAGCGAGUUGGUAAGGUAACGGCUUACCAAGGAAACGAUGCAUAGCCGACCUGAGAGGGGGAUCGGCCACACUGGAACUGAGACACGGUCCAGACUCCUACGGGAGGCAGCAGUAGGGAAUCUUCCGCAAUAGGCGAAAGCCUGACGGAGCAACGCCGCGUGAGUGAUGAAGGUCUUCGGAUCGUAAAACUCUGUUUUUAGGGAAGAACAUAUGUGUAAGUAACUGUGCACAUCUUGACGGUACCUAAUCAGAAAGCCACGGCUAACUACGUG
Molecule: ribosomal RNA, 497 nt
Filed under: uncultured bacterium
Lineage: Bacteria
Description: partial 16S ribosomal RNA
Rfam family: Bacterial small subunit ribosomal RNA
Source: RNAcentral